UACAGAGACUGCAAGCGUUAUUCGGAUUCACUGGGCGUAAAGGGUGCGUAGGUGGCGCUGUAAGUCGGGUGUGAAAUUUCGGAGCUUAACUCCGAAACUGCAUUCGAUACUGCCGUGCUUGAGGACUGGAGAGGAGACUGGAAUUUACGGUGUAGCGGUGAAAUGCGUAGAUAUCGUAAGGAAGACCAGUGGCGAAGGCGGGUCUCUGGACAGUUCCUGACGCUGAGGCACGAAGGCCAGGGGAGCAAACGGG
RNAcentral lists this ribosomal RNA (253 nucleotides) under uncultured bacterium. RNAcentral's name for it is "partial 16S ribosomal RNA". It matches the Rfam family "Bacterial small subunit ribosomal RNA", at positions 524 to 776 of the family's 1533-position model. The record is from RNAcentral.